This is a long non-coding RNA of Andrographis paniculata, 859 nucleotides long. RefSeq lists it as uncharacterized. NCBI's taxonomy places the organism in Eukaryota, Viridiplantae, Streptophyta, Magnoliopsida, Lamiales, Acanthaceae. The record is from RefSeq and is a predicted model, not a curated record. The transcript is spliced from 4 exons.
UGAGUGCAUAAAAAGGGUACUGUAUUUCUACUGUGCAGGCAAAGAUUCCAGUUUUAUAUUGAUUUGGAUAGGUGGAUUCGUCGGUGCGAGGAUUCGGAGAUGGAGAAUGCUGGUUCGUUAGAACGGGCGAUGGCGUGAAACUGUGGGAAUCUUUCAAAUUUUAUCCACUUAAGCAGUUGCUGAGCUUUCGAAUGGUGUACUUACACCCUAGCCGUUUUUUCUGAAUAAAUUCCGCAGCAUUUUAUGGACUUCACUGGAUUUUGAUGCUUACAUUGGCAUCUCUGUUGGGCAAGGGCUCAGCUGAUUUGAGAUCUAAAAGGCAAUUUUUUUUUUACAUGCACCUGAGAAGUUACUCUGAAAUUGGUGAAAGAAUAUCUCAAUAUGUUUGUGAUUUUGAACCUCUCAAUCAACCUGGUGGCCACUGCCACUCUUCUGGCUGGAGAAUUUCUUUGUGAUAUAACAAGUCCUUUUUCCUUUUCUACAGUUUGUCUAUUUGGUACAACAGGUCUGUGAGCAGUAAUGCCUAAGCAUUUCAUCAGUGGAGAAGCAACAGAUUCACACCAUCAAAGCAGGGAAAAAAUCUCAACGACCAACUGCAAGGGGAAAUUAUCCAUGGAAUUAUUACAAUUCCAGUUUAAAGCAUCUAAUAAAGAUUCUUCUUUUUGCAACUGUUGCUUUCGAGUGGUUAUUAAAAGUGUUAGGCAAAUGGGGCUAUCGUGUUUGGUCAUGGAUCAGCAACACUAAAACUCAAGAGAUUGUUUGGGCACAGGACAUUGAUGAUGAUGUCUCAUAAGUGGAGCCUCAAGACUAACACAUCAUCUUUCCACUCAGAUAAGGAUAUCUUUUCCCUUGCUUCUUA